UGCCUGCCGAAUUCGGGUGUUUGAGGCGAUGGUUCGUCUGACUAGUGUACCAUGAGGGAGGCAGUAACAUAUCAGCAGGCUGGUUCCAGGUUACCCUACCUGUUAAUUUUUGACUAAAUCCCGGGGGCUAAAGAUGUGAUUGUAGAGAAUAAGUUUACGAUGCAGCGUUAUGCAUGCCUCAAAUUAGCCAGUUCCUGAUUCUCAAAAAGAAAUUAGCCAGUUCCUUGUCCAAAGAACUGUAUAGAAACAAGCUGUGAAUUGUAAUGUCAAACUCUGGCACCAACACAUGCACACAGGGAAGAAAUACAUCAUAUAUACUAUUUUGGGUGAGCUUCAGUUCAAAGCAUGGUACAAACCAGACAAAGCUGUUAUCCUUUUUCGAACAUUAUUUAGAGACGCGUAUGCUGACAAUCAAUAAGUUUCUAUUACAAAACAACCAAGGCCUCUGUCAAAAUGCAUUGAUUUCCAUGUCACUAGCCAUCAAGGCUUGUGGUUACCUAAUCUUUUGUACUAGCCAUCACUAUCUUAUUCAUGCCCGCCCAGCCGCCAACUGGCCCUCCCCGCGAGCCCGCUCUGGCUGCCGCCGACGCAUGCAUGUGCUGCUACUUAGAGCGCCGUCGUCUUGCCCCGAGCGUGGUCUUGUCACUCACCGUCUCGGCUCUCAGGACAGCGGGCUGCUGCGCUGUCCGUGCGCCCAGGCUCCGGCAGCCAUCCCCACUCAUCUCCUCCUCCGCUUCAUUCUCCCCACGUCAAGUGCCGGCCGGCGACCGGCGGCAGGGCACUUGUGCCGACGACCAUAUAUUAUGACAGCUCCCCCAUCCCACAAGGCGUGUACGGAAAAGAUGCAUUUACACCUGCAACCGAGCCAGCGAUAUGACCGUAGUGCCUUGGGCGCAGGAUGCCCAAGUACUGAAGCCUCGAGUGCAUCAAAUGAUAGGCCAGCCCCCUCGUCAACGUAUCGCACAAGAAGACGACGUCCUCAAAAGGAUGGAACCCGAGGAAGCUAACAUAAUCAGACUUAGUUUCCCGCUCCACCACCGCUGCGUGAUCGUCUUCUUCUUCGUCCGAGGCGCCGCCGUCGUUAACAUCUUCCAGGAUCCAACGCUCGUCGGUUUCUUCCCGACGGUAGCACACCCCACGCGCCAGCGCCUGCUCGAGGUCGACGCGAUGCCUCAGCGCCCACUCGCACCGCCCGCGCGACUCGUAGAGGACCCAAACCCGGAGAAAUCUGAACGCGUCUUCCACCAUCGCGCAGCGGACCUCGUUCUCCGACUUGCCCAGAUGAAGCUCCGGAUACGUGGCCGUCUCCAUGCCCGCCGGGGGGCGGAUCACCCGACACUUACGGUCCGCCAUAGAUAUCCUGCAGCAGAAGUCGUUUUAAUUUGGAUCUGCGCGUAGAGCGCUCCGCGCAGGUACACGCCGUAGCGCUUCACGUCCAGGUCUAGCCUGUCCUCCUCCAGCAUGCCGGCGAUGGUUCCCGCGGCGCCUCCUUGCCGGACGAACGCCCUCUCCUCCCACCGCUUCGUGUCCGACGAGUAGACGGGCAGGACGAACGGCGACGGCGGCCACUCCGAUUCCCUGGGCAUCCGGCCCAGCCUCUCCUCAAAUGGAACGAGAGGGAUCGAUACCACCUCGUAGUGAGGGGAGACACUGGGAUCGAACACCAGAAACUUGUCUCCUCCCAAGACGUAGAAAUCCUCCAUCCCGGCGCGCGAGGGCAGCGGUGGCAGCGGCGGCAACCGCGCGCACUGCCGCGUUGCAGGGUUGACCACCAUGUGGGGGAGUAGUAGGACGAGGCCGUUGCAGUGCUCCCUGACGGCGGUGUUCGAGCUAUAACUGAGGUCGCCGGAGACCGCGGUCCUGGUCGACGGACGGAAGAGCUCCGAGACCUGUAGGAACUAGGAAGCGGAAGUCUAUGAAGAUCUCGCCGAGCGUGUGCGGAAGGAGGUCCGCCCGCAGCAGGUGCCCGGCGUCGAUCAUGGCGUGCCACGCCUUGCAGAUGCAGCGUGACGCCGUGAGGCUGCGCGGCGGGAGACGGCGGAGGAUGUCCGCGAGCACGUCGUCGGGUAGCAGCUUUGUUACUGCUUCCAUAUGCUUGUCCCUUCCUUGACCUUGAUCACACGUCCCUCUUGUUGAUCGAUCUAGCUAGCACACACACGAGACACAACACCGCGACACGCGAGUAUAUGUAUAUACCUCCAAAGGCAGCCUAGUACAUAUAGAGUAGAUGAAUCGGUGACUGAUCCUAGUUUGAUUCGGAUGGGACGUCGACUCUCGGUUUUUUUAGGAGAGAAAACGUGGACUCUCAGUUAAUUCCAACCAUAACGUGAAAAAAAAUGUGCCCUCUAUUCCCUCUAAUCUCUAAUUUGAACAGACACUAUCCAUUAUUUGUGAUCAUAUCUAAAAAAAUGAUAGAAACAUAUGCGCAUUUGAUUGAAGCCGAGUGCACAACGUGGAUAGUAAACGAGUCUUUUUUAUCCGAAAAUGAUAAGUACCUGACAUCAAGUGUGAGCACAUGGCAAAUUGAAUGUUUUUAAUGGCAAUUUUAAUGACGCGGAGAUGGAAAGUUAGAUGUACACACGGCAAUUUUCCCUAACAGUUUCUGCACAUCUCUUUUACAUGUGGGCUCCUCCAAUUUUCUUAUUGCCUCUACCUUCUUAGGAUCAAUCUCUAUGCCAUGCUAAUGAAUUAUAAAACCUAAGAACUUACCAGUCGACACACUCAAAGCACAUUUGAGUGGAUUCAUUUUCACCCCAUACCAACGCAUUCUUUCAAAAACUAAUCACAAAUCGGCUAAAUGAUGACCAAACCCAUACGAUUUAACAACUACAUCAUCAAUAUAUAUUUCUAACACGAUGCAUAGAAGAUCAUGAAAAAUCAGAUUCAUAGCACGCUGGUAUGUAGCGCCGGCAUUCUUCAAUCCAAAAGUUAUGACAGUCCACUCAAAUAAACCAACAAAAUCAGGAUAUCGAAAAGAAGUCUUAAACAUAUCUUUUCUGGCCAUAAAUAUAUGAUUAUAACCAGCAUUACCAUCUAAAAAAUUGAUUACUUUAUGUCCAGAAGCAUCAUUAAUCAAUAUGUCGGCCAUAGGCAUAGGAUAUUCAUCUUUAGGGGUAGCCCUAUUCAAAUCCCUAAAAUCAAUACAUACUCUAAUCUUAUUAGUAUUUUUCUUUUCAACAUGAACAAUAUUAGAAAUCCAUUCCACAUAUCUACACGAACCCAGCUUUUAACAACCGAUCAAUUUCAUCUUUGAUGCGGUCAUAUAUACUAGGAUUGAAUCACCUAAGGGGUUGUUCAUGUGGUUUAAAACCAGAUUUAUAAGGCAAUUGUUCAACUAAGUCCCUGUUCAAAUCGGGCAUCUCAAUAUAAUUCCAAGUAAAGCAAUCGAUAAAUUCCUUAAGUAAUGCACAUACCUUCCCUCUUAGCCCCCAUAUUAGCAUUAAUAAAUGUAGGUCUUGGGACACUUCCAUCACCAAUAUCAACUUCCUCAAGUGGGUCAGCAGAUGAGAACCCCUGUCCAAGCUUCUCCAUGUCAUCAAAAUCUUCAAUAGCUUCAUGGAUAUCAUUCCUUCCCGAACGAUACUCCUCAGUACGCCUUUGCAUCCGCUUAAUACUAUCCUCUUUAUUCAUUUUUAGAGAGAUAAAUCAUUAGCCGAGCUACACUAGCCGGUUGUGCAUGUACAGAAACAAAACCAUCUCUGCCAAUACUAAUAUAAUCAUAAUCUGAUAAAUCCCUUCCCAUCAAGCAUCGCAUCUCACCGUGUUGCCAGUCAACCGGUUGUUGGAAAUAUGCCCUAGAGGCAAUAAUAAAGUGGUUAUUACUAUAUUUCCUUAAUCAUGAUAAAAGUUUAUUAUUCAUGCUAUAAUUGUAUUGAUCAGAAACUUCAAUACAUGUGUGCAUACAUAAACAAAUACCAAGUCCCUAGUGAGCCUCUAUUAUACUAGCUCGUUGAUUAAAAGAUGGUUAAGGUUUUCUGACCAUAGAUAUGAGUUGUCAUUUGAUAACGAGACCAUAUCAUUAGGAGAAUUAUUUGAUGGACAAGACCCAUUCGUUAGCGGAGCAUAUGAUCGUUCGGUUUAUUGCUACUACUUUCUUAAUGUCAAAUACAUGUUCCUUCGACCAUGAGAUCAUGCAACCCCCGGAUUCCGAAGGAAUGCCUUGUGUGUAUCAAACGUCACUUCAUGACUGGGUGAUCAUAAAGGUGCUCUACAGGUAUCUCCGAAGAUGUCUGUUGAGUUGGCAUGGAUCGAGAUUAGGAUUUGUCAUUCUAUAUGACGGAAAGGUAUCUCUGGGCCCUCUCGGUAAUCAACAUCACAAGAAGCUUGCAAGCAAAGUGACUAAGGAGUUAGGUACAAGAUGAUGUAUUACAGAACGAGUAAAGAGACUUGUCGGUAAUGAGAUUGAACUUGGUAUGGAGAUACCGACGAUUGAAUCUCGGGCAAGUAACAUACCGACGAACAAAGGGAACUACAUAUGUUGCCAUAAAGGUUCGACCGAUAAAGAUCUUCAUAGAAUAUGUAGGAACCAAUAUGGGUAUCCAGGUCUCGCUAUUGGUUAUUGUACGGAGAAGCGUCUGAUACGUCUCCGGCAUAUCUAUAAUUUACGAAGUAUUCACGAAGUAUUCAUGUUGUUAUAUUAUCAUUCUUGGAUGUUUUACAAUCAUUUUAUAGCAACUUCAUAUUAUUUUUUGGGACUAACCUAUUGACAUAGUGCCCAGUGUCAGUUGCUGUUUUUUGCUUAUUUUUUACAUCGCAGAAAAUCAAUACCAAACGGAGUCCAAACGCAGCGGAACUUUUCGGAGAUUUUUUAUGGACCAGAAGGAAGAACUUGGGCCAAAGAAGUACCAGAGGAGUGCCCCGAGGAGGGCACAACCCACCUGGGCGCGCACUGGUAGGUUGUGCCCACCUCGGUAGCCUCCCACACCGCCUCUUCGCACUAUAAAUUUCCAAAUAUUACAAAACCCCCGGCGGUAACCCUAGAUCAGAAGUUUCACCGCCGCAAGCCUCUGUAGCCAUGAUAAACCAAUCUAGACCCUAUUCCGGCACUCCGUCGGAGGGGGAAAUUAUCACCGGUGACCAUCUUCAUCAUCCUGGCGGCCACCAUGAUGAGGAGGGAGUAGUCCACCCUCGGGGCUGAGGGUUUGUACCAGUAGCUAUGUGUUUAAUCUCUCCCUCUCUCGUGUUCUUGAGAUGUCACGAUCUUGAUGUAUCGUGGGCUUUGUUAAUAUAGUCGGAUCAUAUGAUGUUUACCCCUAUCUAUCUUGUUGUGAAUUGAGUUUUCCAUUUGAGAUUUCAUUUUACCGGAUUGAAUAUUUUUAUGGAUUUGGAAGCUGAUGUAUGUCUUGCUAUCAAUACCCGUGGUGACAAUGGGGUAUCAUAUUGAUUCACUUGAUAUGUGUUUUGGCACUCAACUUGCGGGUUCCCGAGGUGACAUUGGGGUAAUCUAUGGAUAGGGGUUGAUGCAUGUUCUCGUCUUUGUUUCUCUGAUAGAAAUCUUGGGGCACUCAUUGGGGUAAGCACACCCGUCUUCUCUUCUCGAGAGAACGAAGUCAACCUGGCUAGAGUGUUGACCACUACUAAAACUCACUAGAUGGGAUUCUCUUUCUUUAAAGAGGGUGUUAGCUACAAUCAUAUCGUAGGCUAGAGCGAAGCUUAAGGCAUCUUCUCUAUCUUGAUUCCCGAUGCCAUAGCCAAAAACCCCAUGCACCCCUUCAAAACCUGUAUUAGAUGUACCCAUGUGGCCAUCGAGGUCUCCUUCUAUGAAGAGCUUCUCGCCAAUAGGUAUAUUACUAACCAUGUUCUCGAGGCCUUCCCGGAACUCCCUCUUGGCGCUCUCAUUGUGGCCUACAGGGCUUAUGCCCUGAUAAUAUUGAGAACUAAGCCCCAAUUACCAGCUUGACCAUGAUAAUCCAGUCCCCUUGCCUCUUGAUGUCUACCACUCCAUACUUGAGGCUCUUGUUGAUCAAGAUGCCUACUCCAUUUCUGUUUGUAGUUGUCCGCGUGUAACACAGCUGAAGCCAGUUUCCUCCACCUCCGCCUUCUGUUCCCUCCAUUUGGUUUCUUGGAUGCAUAAGAUAUCAAUACCUCUCCUCACCGAUGUAUCAACUAGCUCCCGAAACUUACCUAUUAGGGACCCUACGUUCUAGUUACCUAAGCUAAGCAGAUCCUACUAGGCUCGGCAAGUUUCCUUACCCUUUGCACUCGUUGAGCCAAAUGCGAAGACCUUGCUCAUUUUCACCACACCCAGGCAUCGAUGUAGCGCGCCACUAAGGAUGCGAUGGCCCAAUCCUUGCUCACUUAUCACCAUAUCCAGAUCAAGAUACGGCACGCCACCAAGGGGGUGACGCCCCGGCCCUUGCACACUUAACACCACACCUUGGUUCCGGUAUGGCGCGUGAAAAAGAGGGUUACGUUCCAACGAUGUUCUCCUGAGUUUCAUCUCUAUAAGAGUGGCUGAGUUUUGACGUUGGCUCGCCAAGCCUAUGACAGCCCUCCUCCUUUACCCGGGCUGGGGACCGGCUAUGUUGAGACCACAUAGGCGAAGUUGAUGUUGUCAUUUCUAACCAUUCAACAAAGACCGAUAUGCGCAUGAGGCGAAUUUCUGGCACUGACAGUGAUAGUUCUAUUCGAUGGUCGGCUAUGAUAAUUUAUACAUAUUAAUAUAAAAGGAACAUUUAUGUGUUAUGAUCGCUCCUUCUUCUUUCUUCUGGUUACCCAGUUGAAGGGACAUUUAUGUGCUAACAUUAUACCACGAUGACGCAAGGAAACAAUUCUAUCGCUAGCAUUUUUGGAUAAUAGGUGUGUGCUCCUUUUUUCAGUUCGGUUUACUGCUUCUAGAAUCGAUACUGCUUUUUGGCUACUUCUCUUUGUUCCAUCCCGGGAAUCAAGCAGUUCUUCGAUGGGGUAAGAGCCCCACAAUACUUCAUAAGGUAAACAAUUUUUUUAUGUAGCCAUGUUUUUCUUAAUUUCUAGAGAAUAUUGGGCGAUUCUGACGAAUUGAGAAACAGGUGUGCGACCUGCCUUUUGCUUUCUUCAGUGACCCAGAGUUGAUGCCCAUCUUGACUACUGCUCUCAUUGCUGUCUGCUACGGCUGUGAUCAGAAUAGAAGUGCGGUACUUCAAGAAAUAAGCUCAGAUAUGAUCGGCACUUUGCUUAGGUCCUGCAGAGUAUCGGUACUGGCCACUUCAGAUUCCGUUGCCACGGAUGGUUCUGGAGCCAAUAAUUCCGGUGACAGCAUGUAACACCCACGAUGCGGCUAUAUCUCCCACGUGUCGGAGCACGACUUAGAGGCAUGACCGCAUAGUAGGCAUGUCGCAAGAGGGGUAAUCUUUACACAUCCCAUGUACUGAAUAUGAAAGGGAUAAAGAGUUGGCUUACAACCGCCACUUCACACAAUACAUAAAUAUAGCAUUACAUCAUCCAGAAUACAAUCAAGGUCCGACUACGGAACCAAAUAAAUAAAGACAACCCCAAAUGCAUAGAUCCCCGAUCGUCCCGACUGGGCUCCACUACUGAUCAACUAGAAACGAAACAACACAACAAACACAAUCUUCAUCGAGCUCCCACUUGAGCUCAGUUGCGUCAUCUGCAAUGGUAUCAUCGUCACCUGCAACUGUUUGGAAGUAUCUGUGAGUCACGAGGACUCAGCAAUCUCACACCCGCGAAAUCAAGACUAUUUAAACUUAUGGGUAGGAAAAGGUAGUCAGGUGGAGCUGCAGCAAGCACUAGCAUAUAUGGUGGCUAACUUACGCAACUGAGAGCGAGAAGAGAAGCAAAGCAUAUGCGAGAAGCUAUAAGAUCAAGAAGUGAUCCUGAAACUACUUACAUUCAAGCAUAACACAAGAACCAUGUUCACUUCCCGGACUCCGCCGAAAAGAGACCAUCAUGGCUACACACGCGGUUGAUGCAUUUUAAUUAAGUUAAGUGUUAGGUUUUCUACAACCGGAUAUUAACAAAUUCUCAUCUACCCAUAACCGCGGGCACGGCUUCCGAAAGUUCAAACCAUGCAGGGGUGUCCCAACUUAGCCCAUCACAAGCUCUCACGGUCAACUAAGGAUAUUCCUUCUCCCAGGAAGACCCGAUCAGACUCGAAAUCCCGGUUACAAGACAUUUCAACAAUGGUAAAACAAGACCAGCAAAGCCGCCCGAAUGUGCCGACAAAUCCCGAUAGGAGCUGCACAUAUCUCGUUCUCGGGGCACAUCGGAUGAGCAAUCCGUACAACUAAAACCAACCCUCAAGUUUCCCCGAGGUGGCGCUGUAAGGGGCUCUAGUUUGGACCAACACUCAGAGGAGCACUGGCCCCGGGGGUUAAAAUAAAGAUGACCCUCGGGCUCCAGAAACCCAAGGGAAAAAGGCUAGGUUGUUAGGCAAAUGUAAAACCAAGGUUGGGCCUUGCUAGAGGAGUUUUAUUCAAGGCGAACUGUCAAGGGGUUCCCAUUACAACCCAACCACGUUAGGAACACAAAAUAAAGGAACAUAACACCGGUAUGACAGAAACUAGGGCGGCAAGAGUGGAACAAAACACCAGGCAUAAGGCCAAGCCUUCCAUCCUUUACCAAGUAUAUAGGUGCAUUAAUUAAAUAAGAGAUAUUGUGAUAUCCCAACAUAUCCAUGUUCCAACAUGGAACAAACUUCAUCUUCACCUGCAACUAGCAACGCUAUAAAAGGGGAGGGGCUGAGCAAAGUGGUAACAUAGCCAAACAACGGUUUGCUAUGAAAAGGUGGGUUAGAGGCUUGACAUGGCAAUAUGAGAGGCAUGAUAAAGCAAGUGAUAGGUAUCGCGGCAUAGCAAUAGAGCGAGAAACUAAGCAAGCAAAGAUAGAAGUGAUUUUGAGGGUAUGAUCAUCUUGCCUGAGAUCACGCAAGGAAGAAGAACGAGUCCAUGAAGAAGACAAACAGACGUAGUCGAACGGAUCCUCACAAACGCGACGUUAUCGGAACUAACCCGAAGAAGCAACACCGGAAAGAAGCAAACAACAUAGUAAACAACCAUCACAUAAGCAUGGCAUGAUGCACAAUCAAGUAUGAUGCAUGUCCGGUUUAAUGAGGCAUGGCAUGGCAAAGUGCACAAACAAUACUACGAAUUAAGUGGAGCACAAUAUGCAACGAGUUGCAUAUUGACAGAACACCACAUGACUUAUUUAGUUCUCUCUCGUUUAGGUACCCAACAAUAUUAAAAGUUGUUAAACAUGGUAAGAUAUGAAGCAUAAUAAAACUAACUAACUAGGCAAGUUUAAAUGAGGCCGGAAACAACAAGCAACAAGUCCGGAAAAAUUCUCAUGAGCAUAUAUUAGAUUUGGUACUGUUCUGGCCUAAAGCAUAUUUUAGAGUUGUUAAACAUGGAAAGUAAAGCCACCAUGUUAAACUAGGUAUUUUUCUACCCCAUUUACAUAUAAAGUUUGUUAAAUUUGGACCUACGGUUAAUUAGUUAUGAAUCAAAUCAUUUUAGCAUGGCAAUUGGCAAAAUAAAGCAAAUAACAAGUUUAAACAUUUUUAACAUGCAUGAAAGUUGCAUAUUAUGAAACUAGGCAAAAUUCUAAGCAAGUUACAUAUAUAAAACAUUUUAAUAUGAUGCAUGGUUGAUGAGUUUUUAUAUGCAUGAAGUGCAAGGGUUUUUCUGCAAAUCUGUAAAUCCCUGGUAAUUAGCAAAUUCGCAGAACAACAAAAAACAUUCACUGGGCUGAAACUUGCUGGCCCAACAGGAACAGGGGAUCUGGAGGGGUCUGCUCACAUCGGGCCUAGCAGGCCGAAACUAAAGCUGGGCCAGAGAGGAGGCGCACUGGCCCGACGGGGAAACAUCACGGGCCGACCGGAUCUGACCGAUGCGGUCAACGCGGUUGCUGCAGCGCUCAUCGUCUCGUUCCUGAAGCGGGGAAUGAGCGAUGCAGGGGAGCUGGCGCGGUCAACGCCGAAGAAACAGGAGCCUUGGCGCGGCCGCGACGCAGAGGACGCAGCGGCGGCCUAGCGUUUCUUAGGACUCCGGCGAAAAACGGCGCGACGGGGAGGUCGAAGGCACUGGUGAGCUCGGGGAGGAUCCAGGCGCGAAAGGUCUUCGGGUCCCAUUUCCUGCCGGAUCGAAGCGGAGGCAGCGGCAUGGCGGACAUGGCGCCAACGCGGGCGAAGGUGAGGAGCUCCCAAGCGACGAAGAGGAUGCAGGGUGCCAUGAGGACGGGCGCGGGGACCUUGGGACCUGGCGUCCAUGGCAGAGGCAGCGGCGCUGGAGGGUCCUGGUGGCCGGAUCCGCGACGCGGCGGGGCAGACGGGGUCCUGGAGGCGUUCAGGCAUCCAUGGCAACCUGUGAGACACAGAGAGAAAGAGAGAGAUGUGAGAGGAGGGAGCAGCAGGGAGAGAUGGAGGGAAGGAGAGCAGCGGCAGGGCUCAUCUGCUCGAGCAAGGUGGUGCGCAAGGGGCUCGGUUGUUGGAGAAUCGAAGUGAAGCAGAGGGGGCCGGUGGUUGGUGGGGAGAGAUCGAGAGGAAUUUUGGAUCUAGGACACUCACAUUGAUUGGAUGGGGAUGGAUCCCGAGGUGGGAGAGGUAGUUGGCCCGAUGGGGAUAACAAGGAAGGAGGCUGGUUGGGUGGCUCGAUCGAGAGGAUCAGGCAAGAACCAGGAAGAGUGGGUGGCAGCGGCGGGGAGGAUUUGAUGGAUGGAUGGGACAGGGCUAGGGUUAGACUAUAUAUAUAUCCGAUGAAAUUAGGUUAGGGGCUAACUCGUCCCUCCGAUCAGAAUCGGGAGGUCGAGGAAAAUAGACUAGGAAGUCCAAAUAAGAAAAUAAUGAUGUUUUGUAGAUGUUUGGGGAUGAUCCCGAUUCAACGGUGACGACUGUCCGGGUCGGGUUUGGGUAAGUUUCGGACACAGGCGAGGGGUCGAUGCACUGUGCAAAGAGGGGUUUUCGGACCGUGCGAUUGCAUCGGACGGCUCCGGACGCGAAGAGGGGUAGGCAUGGGCCUAGGUGGACUGUGGAGAGCGGGUUGGCCUGAGAGAAGAGGGGAGAGAUGCAGCCCGGCACAGUUUUCGGAGACCGAAAACGUCCGACGAAAAGACCGGCUAUACUGCCACUAUAGUUAUCCGUUGGGGCAUCAAACAAGACUCCAAAUGCGAUGAAACUUGACAGGCGGUCUAUCUACACUAUAAUAAAACCACACGCCAAAUUUCAUCCCAUUCCGAGAACAUUUUUCGGCCACUUAUAAAAUACUAUUUCGAAGGUGUCGCAAGCGCGUCCAAGUGUGUCUGGGCUCAGAACGGACAACGGAGAGAACGAGGAGACCGGGACGGAUGCAAGUUUUGAAAACAUGAUCAUGUAAUGCACAUAAUGACAUGACAAGAUGCAACACGCAAGCGCAUGACAUGGCAAAGACAACAAAUAACUGGAAGACACCCGGCACAUCGGAAUCGGAACGUCACACAACGCUCAUAUCUUGCCGGACAUCAGAAACUCACUAUCUGAAAUGUCUAUACGGUCAAGCCGCAAAGGCUUGCGGCCAGUGUUAGGAAAAGGCGUUUCAGAGGAAGUUAAACGGAAACAAGAAUCAAAAGGAUGGUAGAGGAGUACGAGCUGGUGAUGAUGGAGGGCCCUUGAAGCAAAGGGCUGGCGAAGCUUCAUCUGCUUUUAUGUUGCAUAGGAAAAUCCCGGCUUUCUUCUUUGACAAAGCAGAAGAGUUCUUCUGUGGCGGUGCAUAGCGAAAACGCUGAAUAGCAAAGCUGACCAGAUCUUUACCACAGGCUACAGAAUUCGGGUUUUUGCACAAGCUGACCAAACCUUUAGAAGAAGCUACCGAAUUUGGGUUUUUUGCACAAGCUGACUGGACCUUCACAAGAAGCUGCCUGCCGAAUUCGGGUUUUUGAGGCGAUGGUGCGUCUGACUAGUGUACCGUGAGGGAGGCAGUGACAUAUCAGCAGGCUGGUUCCAGGUUACCCUACCUGUUAUUUUUUGACUAAAUCCCGGGGCUAAAGAUGUGAUUGUAGAGAAUAAGUUUGCGAUGUGGCAUUGUGCAUUCCUCAAAUUAGCCUCUGUGUUCCUUGUCCAAAAGAACUGUAUAGAAACAAGCUGUGAACUGUAAUGUCAAACUCUGGCACCAACACAUGCACACAGGGAAGAAAUACAUC
Molecule: long non-coding RNA, 12105 nt
Filed under: Triticum aestivum (bread wheat)
Lineage: Eukaryota; Viridiplantae; Streptophyta; Magnoliopsida; Poales; Poaceae
Description: long non-coding RNA (TAES_LNC020371)
Source: RNAcentral